GCUUUUUAAAAAAUUUUAGGUGGCACUAUGGAGUCAGUUUGGAACAUUUAUUGAAGAGAGCUAUGGAACUGGAAAGAAUACAUCACAUUGGAAGCGUGUGCCAAAUUUCAUGACUUUUUGACCUUUCCAAGCAUAUUAAAAAAUACUUUCUGAUUCAAGGAAAAUCGCAAUGCCACCAGGGUGCGCCAUUUAAUAAAGUCACAAUUUUUACACUAAGGCAGGGGUAGGCAACUCCAGGCCUCGAGUGCGGUUGUCCUGCAGGUUUUAGAUGUGUCCUUGAUCCAAUGCAGCUGAUUCAAAUUGCUAAAUUACCUACUUAACAUGUCUUGAAGUUCUCAAGAGGCCUGGUAAUGAACUAAUCAUUUGAUCCAAGUGUGUUGACCCAGGCUGAGAUCUAAAACCUGCAGGACAUCGGCCCUCGAGACCAGGAGUUGCUCACCCCUGCACUAAGGCAUCAUCAGUGUCUGAUGUUUAUUAUGAGCACUUUUGAGGUGAAAAUGAUCAACCUGGGAGAAGUACAAUAAGUACAUUUACAUAAUGAUUGAAACGAGCACCACUGCUGAACAACAGGAUGUGAGGCACUCUUCCCAGCUUUUCUAGGGGAAUACCAGAGUGUUCCCAAGCUAGCCAGGAGAUCUUAAUCAGAACAAGAACCCACAGGAUGUGGCACAAGACCAAGGCCUCACCCUGCAACACAAAGGAUCUACAUCCAGGCUACCAACCAAAGGACACCUCAGAUGCUUUGUGUCUUGAUCAGUGCUUACAAAAUAUGGGGCCCAGUGGAGCCUGUAGAUGAUGCUUACACUCCAGGCACAUCUCUGCAAAGCAAAC
Oreochromis aureus is the source of this 831-nucleotide long non-coding RNA. Lineage: Eukaryota; Metazoa; Chordata; Actinopteri; Cichliformes; Cichlidae. The record is from Ensembl.